AUUCAGCUGACGAGUCCCAAAAGGGAUGAAACGCGCGUCCUGCAU
This is a non-coding RNA of Schistosoma margrebowiei, 45 nucleotides long. NCBI's taxonomy places the organism in Eukaryota, Metazoa, Platyhelminthes, Trematoda, Strigeidida, Schistosomatidae. The record is from Rfam.